This is a long non-coding RNA of Diachasmimorpha longicaudata, 439 nucleotides long. RefSeq lists it as uncharacterized. The transcript has 2 exons. NCBI's taxonomy places the organism in Eukaryota, Metazoa, Arthropoda, Insecta, Hymenoptera, Braconidae. The record is from RefSeq and is a predicted model, not a curated record.
AUCCAGAUAAAUAAUAUUAAGUGUAAAUAAAUGUCAAGCUCAUGUGAUGGAAGGGUUUUUGAAAUCAAAGAGCAGACCAUAGUAACUAUUUCGUUCAGACACAAAAAUGUCACGAGAACAAACGUUAAUCACGUCCCUUAUUUGUUUGAUGGAUGAAGAAUCAUGCAGAUCAUUGAUAAUCUACGAGAAAUAAUGUCAUGUUACCCGAUUGGCAAUGAAAAUUAGAUGUGGAGAUAUUAAUUGAAUGAAGUUUGGACAGAUAAGCUGCGAGGAGAGCUGUUCUUGAAGUUCCCAACAAUUUUGGAACAACGUGAUCCUGAAUUUUGCUUUAAAACUAGUGAAAAAAUUCUUCAAAAGUGCAACAACUUUAUGAAAAAUGAAUCGAUUCAAUUGAGGUUUGCUUUGAUGUAUUGCCGCGACAUUCUUUAGAAUUGUCGAU